AAUGAAACUGUGAACGAAUGACUGCUUACAGAUUUAAUCUGACCGAGUUUUGUUGCUAAUUGUGGCAAUACAUGACUGGUUAAAGUCUUCGUUGAUGAGAAGUCCCACUGGCAGAGACACAAAUGUUUACUGAAUCCUCUUUGUAACAUAUUAUUACAUAUACCUGAUAUGCCAGCUGAUUUUCAGUUCAUUACUACCUAGCUAGCUAUUUAUUUUAGUUGCUGAUGAUCUAGGUAAUAAAUUUCAAUUUGAGCCUUCAAAUAUGGUUCAAAUAGUUUUCUAAAAGAUAACUGGGGGUUCGAUGUUAGCUCAGAAGGAUGCAGGUAGAUAUAAUAUUCCAGAACUUGGCCUAAACUAUACUUAAUAAUUAACCAGGACCAACUAAUUAAGCUCCAUGCCAUAUUAGCAUGACAAUGAGCUAGCACAGUAGAUACUCGAUGCUUAGAAAAUAAACAAAUUAUGUGCAUGGAGGUUCAAUAGAAUACUUAAACAAGUUGCCGUCUACCUCAAACAAUUAACUACCGAAAAAUAUAUGGGAAAAAGCCCUAAUGCACAAAAUAGAAAAAGUCAAACCCCAUUUCAAUGAUAAUCUUUUUUAUUAGCCCAUUUGAAUACAAGGUACUUAUUUUAAGCCCAAAUACACAAAUCUUUAUUAAAAUAUAAUAAAAUUAUAUUUUUAAAGACUUUUUUACCCUUAGCUUUUACUUAAAGUGAAAAAGAUGGAGGGAAGACUUUGCCGGAAGCACACCGGGCUCCGGCACCAGUCCCCGGCGGCCGCAUUCCGGUCGCCGGACUCCGAACUCCGGCCGCCGGAAUCCGGUCACCGGUGACCGGAAUUUUCCGACUACCGGAAAAUUGCCGACAUCCGAUGGCCGGAAUUUUACUACCCCUAGUAAACUUCUGCUGGAGGUAGUAAUCUUUUACUGGGGGUAGUAAACUUGCAAAACAGUAGCUCCAAUGGCAUAAUUCAUAUUGAAAAGGAGAAAAAUCAACUUAGAUGCGAAAAAAUGAAUUUACUGGGGGUAGUAAACUUGGAAAAACAGUAGCUCCAAUGCCAUAAUUUAUAUUCAAACGGAGAAAAAUAAACUUAGAUGCGAAAAAAUGAAGUUUACUACCCCUAGUAAACUUUUACUGGGGGUAGUAAACUUGCAAAACAGUAGCUCCAAUGCCAUAAUUCACAUUGAAAAUGAGAAAAAUCAACUUAGAUGCGAAAAAAUGAAGAUUACUACCUCUAGUAAACUUUUAUUGGGGGUAGUAAACUUGCAAAACAGUAGCUCCAAUGCCAUAAUUCACAUUGAAAAAGAGAAAAAUCAACUUAGAUGUGUAGUAAACUUUUACUCGGGGUAGUAACCUUGCAAAACAGUAGCUUCAAUGCCAUUAUACACAUUAAAACAAUGAAAAAUCAACUUAAAUGUGAAAAAAUAAAGUUUACUACCCCUAGUAAAUUUUACUGGGGGUAGUAAACUUGCAAUACAAUAUUUUCCUAGUCAGUAUAUACAUUAAAACACACACAAAAAAAUCAACUUAGAUGCAGACAAAUAAAGUUUACUGCCCCUAGUAAACUUCUACUAGGGGUAGUAAAC
This 1583-nucleotide long non-coding RNA is filed under the name Fragaria vesca (wild strawberry). Its description in RNAcentral is "long non-coding RNA (FVES_LNC002951)". Lineage: Eukaryota; Viridiplantae; Streptophyta; Magnoliopsida; Rosales; Rosaceae. The record is from RNAcentral.